This 265-nucleotide ribosomal RNA is filed under the name Alphaproteobacteria bacterium. Its description in RNAcentral is "partial 16S ribosomal RNA". The stretch from base 1 to 138 matches the Rfam family "Bacterial small subunit ribosomal RNA", at positions 617 to 754 of the family's 1533-position model. Lineage: Bacteria; Pseudomonadati; Pseudomonadota; Alphaproteobacteria. The record is from RNAcentral.
GAGGGAUCAUUCGAUACUGUUGAGUUAGAGGACAGCAGGGGGAGGUGGAAUUCCCGGUGUAGUGGUGAAAUGCGUAGAUAUCGGGAGGAACACCAGUGGCGAAGGCGGCCUCCUGGGCUGUUUCUGACGCUGAGGCCCGAAAGCGCCAGGUCCAUCUCGAACUUGCGCGGCGCUACCGCAAGAUUCUCGGCGGCAUUUCGGAUCAUGCUCCGUCCGGUCAGGCCCGCUGACCGGAGCGGGCCGGGCCGUUCCGAAACAGAGCGAC